Molecule: long non-coding RNA, 707 nt
Filed under: Monodelphis domestica (gray short-tailed opossum)
Lineage: Eukaryota; Metazoa; Chordata; Mammalia; Didelphimorphia; Didelphidae
Description: lncRNA (ENSMODG00000035035.2)
Source: RNAcentral
CUCAGAGAACCCCAACAAUCCUUAGAUCGCACUUUGAGAACCACUGCCGGAAGCACAAGUCAUCCAAGAGUUAGAAAAGAUAAAGUAAAAUCCAGAGCCUGGCAGAAGAGAAUUUCAAAUUAGCUUCAGACCUUUGGGUAGAGGGUCCUCAUGAGAAGGAGGCUGGAUUUCUGACCUGCACCAGAACAAUAAGGAAUCAUGAACUGGAGGGAUUCCAUGGGAACUGGAAUGACCUCCAGGAAGUGAUGCAGAGUGAGAGGAGCAGAACCAGGAGAACAUUGUACACAGAGAUGGAUACACUGUGGUACAAUCGAAUGUAAUAGACUUCUCUGCUAGCAGCAACUCAAUGAUCAAGGACAAUUCUGAGAGACUUAUGAGAAAGAACACUAUCCACAUUUAGAGAAAGAACUGUGGGAAUAGAAACACAGAAGAAAAACAACUGCUUGAUCACAUGGGUCGAUGGAGAUAUAAUUGGGGAUGUAGUCUCUAAAUGAUCACCCUAGUGCAAAUAUCAAUAAUAUGGAAAUAGGUCUUGAUAAAUGAUAUGUGUAAAACCCAGUGGAAUUGUGUGUCAACUACAAGAGGGGGGAGGGGAAGGGGAGGGAAAGAACAAGAAUCUUGUAAUCAUGGAAAAAUAUUCUAAAUUAACUAAUUAAAUGAAAUUUUCAAAAAAUAAAAAAUAAAUUUAAAAAAAGUUUCCCUUUAGC